RNAcentral lists this ribosomal RNA (254 nucleotides) under uncultured bacterium. Its description in RNAcentral is "partial 16S ribosomal RNA". It matches the Rfam family "Bacterial small subunit ribosomal RNA", at positions 524 to 776 of the family's 1533-position model. The record is from RNAcentral.
UACGGGGGGAGCAAGCGUUGUUCGGAUUUACUGGGCGUAAAGGGCGCGUAGGCGGCCACCGCAAGUCGACUGUGAAAUCUCCGGGCUUAACCCGGAAAGGUCAGCCGAUACUGCGGGGCUAGAGUGCAGAAGGGGCAACUGGAAUUCUCGGUGUAGCGGUGAAAUGCGUAGAUAUCAGGAGGAACACCGGCGGUGUAGACGGCUUUCUGGACCGUAGCUGACGCUGAGACACGAAAGCGUGGGUAGCAAACAGG